GAUGAACGCUGGCGGCGUGCUUAAUACAUGCAAGUCGAGCGAACGGACGAGAAGCUUGCUUCUUUGAUGUUAGCGGCGGACGGGUGAGUAACACGUGGAUAAUCUACUUAUAAGACUGGUAUAACUUCGGGAAACCGUAGCUAAUACCGGAUAAUAUUCUGAACCGCAUGGUUCAAAAGUGAAAGACGGCCUUGCUGUCACUUAUAGAUGGAUCCCCGCUGCAUUAGCUAGUUGGUAAGGUAACGGGUUAUCAAGGCAACGAUGCGUAGCCGAACUCAGAGAGUGGUCGGCCACACUGGAACUGGGACACGGUCCAGACUCCUGCGGGAGGCCGCAGUCGGGAAUGGUACGCAGUAGGCGGAAGCCUGACGGAGCGACGGCGCGUGAGUGAUGGCAAUGUUGCGUGCGUAAAACUCUGUUUUUAGGGGAGAACAUAUGUGUAAUGUGCUGUGCACAGCUUGACGGUACCUAAUCAGAAAGCCACGGCUAACUACGUG
Molecule: ribosomal RNA, 497 nt
Filed under: uncultured bacterium
Lineage: Bacteria
Description: partial 16S ribosomal RNA
Rfam family: Bacterial small subunit ribosomal RNA
Source: RNAcentral